Molecule: ribosomal RNA, 406 nt
Filed under: uncultured bacterium
Lineage: Bacteria
Description: partial 16S ribosomal RNA
Rfam family: Bacterial small subunit ribosomal RNA
Source: RNAcentral
AUUGAACGCUGGCGGCAGGCCUAACACAUGCAAGUCGAACGAGUGGCGGACGGGUGAGUAAUGUCUGGGAAACUGCCUGAUGGCGGGGGAUAACUACUGGAAACGGUAGCUAAUACCGCAUACCAUCGGGUGUGCCCAGAUGGGAUUAGCUGGUAGGUGGGGUAAAGGGUCACCUAGGCGACGAUCCCUAGCUGGUCUGAGAGGAUGACGAGCCACACUGGAACUGAGGCACGGGCCAGACUCCUACGAGGGGAAGCAGUGGGGAAUAUUGCACAAUGGGCGCAAGCCUGAUGCAGCCAUGCCGCGUGUAUGAAGAGGGCCUUCGGGUUGUAAAGUACUUUCAGCGGGGAGGCGUUACCCGCAGAAGAAGCACCGGCUAACUCCGUGCCAGCAGCCGCGGUAAUUC